Molecule: transfer RNA, 73 nt
Filed under: Stegodyphus mimosarum
Lineage: Eukaryota; Metazoa; Arthropoda; Arachnida; Araneae; Eresidae
Rfam family: tRNA
About the family: Transfer RNA (tRNA) molecules are approximately 80 nucleotides in length. Their secondary structure includes four short double-helical elements and three loops (D, anti-codon, and T loops).
Source: Rfam by way of RNAcentral
GCUUUCGUGGUGUAGCGGUCAGCACGCUCGACGCGCAUUCGAGAGGUCCUAGGUUCGAAUACCACCGAGAGCA